RNAcentral lists this transfer RNA (26 nucleotides) under Saponaria lutea. Its description in RNAcentral is "partial tRNA-Ser". Lineage: Eukaryota; Viridiplantae; Streptophyta; Magnoliopsida; Caryophyllales; Caryophyllaceae. RNAcentral also lists the same sequence under 2 other names. The record is from RNAcentral.
CGUUUCGUCCACUCAGCCAUCUCUCC